Molecule: unclassified non-coding RNA, 25 nt
Filed under: Mus musculus (house mouse)
Lineage: Eukaryota; Metazoa; Chordata; Mammalia; Rodentia; Muridae
Description: oocyte_clustered_small_RNA11911
Source: RNAcentral
ACCUGGCCAAGACCGCCUUCGACGA